GCAACAUGCAGUGACUUAUUAUAACACAAUUGCAUAUUUUUAAAGGGGUAGAGGAGACAAUAUUUAACAGAAAAUAUCUCACGUGCCUGCAGAAUUAGCAAUAUGCAAAUCUACCCGAAUAUGCAAAUGAACCAGUCUUGCUAUUCAGGUAGUGCAUAUUGCUGUUGCUACCAACAGAGGGCACUAGACAAGCUCCAUAGCUAAAUC
Molecule: non-coding RNA, 207 nt
Organism: Pelobates cultripes (western spadefoot toad)
Lineage: Eukaryota; Metazoa; Chordata; Amphibia; Anura; Pelobatidae
Source: the annotation of a GenBank genome assembly